UGGGGAAUCUUGCACAAUGGAGGAAACUCUGAUGCAGCGACGCCGCGUGAACGAUGAAGCCCUUCGGGGUGUAAAGUUCUUUCGUCAGGAACGAUAAUGACGGUACCUGGAGAAGAAGCUGCGGCUAACUACGUGCCAGCAGCCGCGGUAAUACGUAGGCAGCAAGCGUUGUUCGGAAUUAUUGGGCGUAAAGAGUAUGUAGGUGGUGUCGUAAGUUUGGUGUGAAAUCUCCCGGCUUAACCGGGAGGGUGCGCCGAAGACUGCGAUGCUGGAGUAUGGGAGAGGGAAUCGGAAUUCCUGGUGUAGCGGUGAAAUGCGUAGAUAUCAGGAGGAACACCUGUGGUGUAGACGGGUUCCUGGACCAUUACUGACACUGAGAUACGAAAGCGUGGGUAGCAAACAGGAUUGGAUACCCUGGUAGUCCACGCCCUAAACGAUGCACACUUGGUGUGAGCCAUUCAGUUGGUUUGUGCCGGAGCUAACGCGUUAAGUGUGCCGCCUGGGGAGUACGGUCGCAAGGCUG
RNAcentral lists this ribosomal RNA (523 nucleotides) under uncultured bacterium. RNAcentral describes it as "bacterial SSU rRNA". It matches the Rfam family "Bacterial small subunit ribosomal RNA", at positions 355 to 896 of the family's 1533-position model. The record is from RNAcentral.